UAUUCACAAUGUGAUCUUAUUUCUGUUCCUGAAAAGUUGUUUUCAGUGUAUUUUCUCCUUGAAAUCGAUCACUUCAGUUAGACUUCGAGAUCUACAUUUUCGACAAAGGCCUGGUGUAAUAUUAUUACGUACUUGAUGAAGGUUUAAUGACACGAAUGAGUACAAGUACAUUACAUUUUUCGACGAAGGCCUUCUGUAAUUUCAUACGCUUCUUACGCAACAUUCAAUAGAUUUAUUUACUGUAUUAUCAUUUCGACCAAGGCGAAUUCGACACUUCAAUUACACAAGGUUAGUAACUUUUGUUCACAAAAUCCAAAUGGAGGCAAAUACAGAACAAUCAAACUUAGUCAUUCCAGUCAGUUACUGAAGCACAGUGAAAACUGUCGGGAGCAGUGCAACUGAUGGCAUGUCAAACUUCCAGUGACUGUCCCUGUCCAUAUAUUUCAAGACAGUACAAAUCUUGUAAUCAUUUUGUUUAUGCAAUGUACGUUAUUAUGUAUCAUUUCAGCACAAUCAAACUUAGUCAUUCCAGUCAGUUACUGAAGCACAGCGAAAACUGUCUGAAUUAGUGCUGCUGAUGGCAUGUAAUUACUCUACUACCACUACCAGUGGCAGUCAAUGUCCAAAUAUUUUCAAGUGUGCGAAAUUAGUACUCGUCUACUUCUUAGUGUUAUUUGAAUGCAAUGUAUGUUAUAAAAAUAUUUUUUCAACACUAUAUCAACAUUCUCAUUCCUGUCAGUUUCUGAAAAUCAGCUAAAGCAAUCGCUACCAAUGCAGCUGAUAACAGCAAUUCUUUUUGUUCCCAAUGCCCAUCCAUGACAAUAUAUUUCACGCAUGUGACAAUCAUGUAAUCAUCCUGUUUUUUGUGUUCUAUUCAUGCAAUAAAUAAAUUCAGUAUUUUCAAAUCAUUGGUGCUACAAAACUAUUCUCAUUAUAGAUUAUUCAUAUUUUAUAAAAUGCUGUCAUGUCAAAUUUUGUGUCCUAUAAAUCAUAAUGAAGUCGGCAUUUUAUAUACAACUUUUGUACUCCUCCUAAAUAAACAUACAAAUCUUGUUUUAUGUAAACUUUGUAUAUGUGACCCGUCACAGCAAAACCAGGCGCAUGUCGCUCUGAGCUUGGCAGGUUGAGACGGACUGUUCUAAUCUUUCAUUAGCGACACCAUUUCUUACCAGAGUGCCUCCUUCAUUCAUACAUCUUGUACUUUAACUCAAGAUACCCAUCUUUGAAUAUUUUUAGUAUACCAAG
Molecule: long non-coding RNA, 1245 nt
Organism: Lineus longissimus
Lineage: Eukaryota; Metazoa; Nemertea; Pilidiophora; Heteronemertea; Lineidae
Exons: 4
Source: RefSeq, a predicted model, not a curated record